This 1326-nucleotide ribosomal RNA is filed under the name uncultured bacterium. RNAcentral's name for it is "bacterial SSU rRNA". It matches the Rfam family "Bacterial small subunit ribosomal RNA", at positions 28 to 1381 of the family's 1533-position model. The record is from RNAcentral.
GAUGAACGCUGGCGGCGUGCCUAACACAUGCAAGUCGAGCGAUUCUCUUCGGAGAAGAGCGGCGGACGGGUGAGUAACGCGUGGGUAACCUGCCCUGUACACACGGAUAACAUACCGAAAGGUAUGCUAAUACGAGAUGAUAUAUAAAAGUUGCAUGACUUUUAUAUCAAAGCUUUUGCGGUACAGGAUGGACCCGCGUCUGAUUAGCUAGUUGGUAAGGUAACGGCUUACCAAGGCGACGAUCAGUAGCCGACCUGAGAGGGUGAUCGGCCACACUGGAACUGAGACACGGUCCAGACUCCUACGGGAGGCAGCAGUGGGGAAUAUUGCACAAUGGGCGAAAGCCUGAUGCAGCAACGCCGCGUGAGGCGAUGAAGGCCUUCGGGUCGUAAAGCUCUGUCCUCAAGGAAGAUAAUGACGGUACUUGAGGAGGAAGCCCCGGCUAACUACGUGCCAGCAGCCGCGGUAAUACGUAGGGGGCUAGCGUUAUCCGGGAAUUACUGGGCGUAAAGGGUGCGUAGGCGGUCUUUCAAGCCAGAAGUGAAAGGCUACGGCUCAACCGUAGUAAGCUUUUGGAACUGUAGGACUUGAGUGCAGGAGAGGAGAGUGGAAUUCCUAGUGUAGCGGUGAAAUGCGUAGAUAUUAGGAGGAACACCAGUAGCGAAGGCGGCUCUCUGGACUGUAACUGACGCUGAGGCACGAAAGCGUGGGGGGCAAACAGGAUUAGAUACCCUGGUAGUCCACGCCGUAAACGAUGAGUACUAGGUGUCGGGGGUUACCCCCCUCGGUGCCGCAGCUAACGCAUUAAGUACUCCGCCUGGGAAGUACGCUCGCAAGAGUGAAACUCAAAGGAAUUGACGGGGACCCGCACAAGUAGCGGAGCAUGUGGUUUAAUUCGAAGCAACGCGAAGAACCUUACCUAAGCUUGACAUCCCAUUGACCUCUCCCUAAUCGGAGAUUUCCCUUCGGGGACAGUGGUGACAGGUGGUGCAUGGUUGUCGUCAGCUCGUGUCGUGAGAUGUUGGGUUAAGUCCCGCAACGAGCGCAACCCUUGCCUUUAGUUGCCAGCAUUAAGUUGGGCACUCUAGAGGGACUGCCGAGGAUAACUCGGAGGAAGGUGGGGAUGACGUCAAAUCAUCAUGCCCCUUAUGCUUAGGGCUACACACGUGCUACAAUGGGUGGUACAGAGGGUUGCCAAACCGUGAGGUGGAGCUAAUCCCUUAAAGCCAUUCUCAGUUCGGAUUGUAGGCUGAAACUCGCCUACAUGAAGCUGGAGUUACUAGUAAUCGCAGAUCGGAAUGCUGCGGUGAAUGCGUUCCCGGGUCU